CUUCUAGAUGUGGGAGGGGAUGUCCCAAGCAAAGCAUUCAUUUGCCAAUUAGUGAUUGCCAAAUCCUUGACACCUGACAUGCACAUAUUUAAAUAGACUGGGUGUAUACCUGACACCUGCCUGUGAUCCUAUCUUCUUCAUACUAUGCUGGACACACCACACAUAGGAUAAGCUUUUUCUUGCUCUCUCUGGAGAUCGCUUCCAUACUCAUAUUCUAAACAUUUAAUAAGGCAUCACUCUGGCAAUUGCUUUGCUGGGCUCCCCCUCCACCUGUCCGGCCCGCACUCUCUGACUGGACUUUUGGAUUUUUUCCCAGUUAUACUGUGGGUCCCUGCAGGCCACUUUUGUGGGGCAUCGUUGAGGCCUUUUUGGGGGUGCUAACCACUCGUAUGGAGAAAAGUAACCAGGGAUCCUCAGGACUAUAACCUUACUCUGGUCCAAAUAGAACUGAGAAACACAAUCUUUUGCAUCAUAUACCCUUUCCUCCGAAGAAGACCCAUAUGUGGGGGUCGAAACGCGUCAGGAACAACUUGACCUGAAGAUCAGCCAUUCAUGU
Long non-coding RNA from Rana temporaria (common frog), 556 nucleotides. RefSeq lists it as uncharacterized. The transcript is spliced from 3 exons. NCBI's taxonomy places the organism in Eukaryota, Metazoa, Chordata, Amphibia, Anura, Ranidae. The record is from RefSeq and is a predicted model, not a curated record.